Molecule: ribosomal RNA, 451 nt
Filed under: uncultured bacterium
Lineage: Bacteria
Description: bacterial SSU rRNA
Rfam family: Bacterial small subunit ribosomal RNA
Source: RNAcentral
CUCCAGACUCCUACGGGAGGCAGCAGUGGGGAAUAUUGGGCAAUGGACGCAAGUCUGACCCAGCAACGCCGCGUGAAGGAAGAAGGCUUUCGGGUUGUAAACUUCUUUUAAGGGGGAAGAGCAGAAGACGGUACCCCUUGAAUAAGCCACGGCUAACUACGUGCCAGCAGCCGCGGUAAUACGUAGGGGGCAAGCGUUAUCCGGAUUUACUGGGUGUAAAGGGGGCGCAGACGGCAAUGCAAGCCAGGAGUGAAAGCCCGGGGCCCAACCCCGGGACUGCUCUUGGAACUGCAUGGCUGGAGUACAGGAGGGGCAGGCGGAAUUCCUAGUGUAGCGGUGAAAUGCGUAGAUAUUAGGAGGAACACCGGUGGCGAAGGCGGCCUGCUGGACUGUGACUGACGUUGAGGCCCGAAGGCGUGGGGAGCAAACAGGAUUAGAUACCCUCGUAUCA